GCCAAACUAAACUUUUUUUUUUUUUUUUUGCCUUGUUAGGAACUGCAAGAAUUUUUCCAUUCUAUUUUUUUUUUUCCCCCAGACUGCAGCAGUCCUCUUCCAGUAGAGCUGAUUGGCUUCAACCCAUAAUCCCGUUGGAUUUCUUUCCCUAUUUUUUGCAGAGAAUGUCAUUUGAGUACAUAUUACAGUGCUAAAAAGGAAGUUUUAGUUGAAUUUUUUUUUUCAAUCACUGAUUACUACUCAGUGAAGCUGGGGCACUCAAAGGUAAAACAUGUAUUUUUCUUUCAGACACGUUUUUGUUGGUGGAAACCCUGCAUCUGCCCUGUGGGUACUGUGAAGACUUCGUAGGAGGCAGUCAGAAGGACUAACAAAUUGCUUUAUUAAAGCUCACACCUAGAAUUACCACCGUGCGGACCCAUGACUAACCCUGCCGGGCAGCCCUGUGAGGUUUGGAAACCCACCUCUUUGACCUAGGCCCAGGCAAUACCCGGGAGUGGCACCCAGAGAACUUUCCCAGAUUGAUCUCUGUCACUGCUCAAGGAAGGUCCGCUCCAGCCUUUCUGCCCGGAGCCAAUCAGCCCUGCCUGCCAAGCCACUCCUUCCCUGCACCUUUAACGGUUGGGAGCCGGGAAACGUCGGCUGGGGUUUUCUUCUUAAGAAGUCGCACCGGUUUUUCGAGCUCCGCUCUGCGUCUGGAGGGCUACAGCAGCGGGAGCGGGUGCCGCCGGUGCCACCCUCCUUUGCCCCUGCCACUCUUCGCAGAAAAGAUCUGUUCCAGAACUGAGUGUUGACUGCUGCAGGGACUACGGUGGGGUUUGCUGUGCUCCC
This 828-nucleotide long non-coding RNA is filed under the name Sus scrofa (pig). RNAcentral's name for it is "lncRNA (ENSSSCG00045032633.1)". Lineage: Eukaryota; Metazoa; Chordata; Mammalia; Artiodactyla; Suidae. The record is from RNAcentral.